AACUGGGCACGCUCUCGCAACGACGGUCGACCUCGGCGACGAUACAUAGCUGAAAGGAACAAAUCGGGGUCAGAUACAACGCAACACUCUCGACCCAAUCAACGAAAGUCUAGAAGGCGGUCCCUGUUUUCCUCCAAAAUUAUGUCGUCUGCAGCCAACAUAAUUUCUCAGGCCAAAACAGGAACUCCUUCAAUCACUCACCCCACUCUAGGAGGAGUUAGAACAGAUAAUCAUUGACUUUCGCAAUAAAAUUACGCCUCUCGCGUCUUACUUUCCUAAGGUUUGCCAAACUUAGGUUUCCUAGAUCCCAACGACCUAUAGCAAGGCUCUGAUACCAACUUAAUCU
This 346-nucleotide long non-coding RNA is filed under the name Ananas comosus (pineapple). RNAcentral describes it as "long non-coding RNA (ACOM_LNC017824)". The record is from RNAcentral. Lineage: Eukaryota; Viridiplantae; Streptophyta; Magnoliopsida; Poales; Bromeliaceae.